RNAcentral lists this transfer RNA (87 nucleotides) under Betaproteobacteria bacterium RBG_19FT_COMBO_58_11. RNAcentral's name for it is "tRNA-Leu". It matches the Rfam family "tRNA". From Rfam's summary of the family: Transfer RNA (tRNA) molecules are approximately 80 nucleotides in length. Their secondary structure includes four short double-helical elements and three loops (D, anti-codon, and T loops). Further hydrogen bonds mediate the characteristic L-shaped molecular structure. tRNAs have two regions of fundamental functional importance: the anti-codon, which is responsible for specific mRNA codon recognition, and the 3' end, to which the tRNAs corresponding amino acid is attached (by aminoacyl-tRNA synthetases). tRNAs cope with the degeneracy of the genetic code in two manners: having more than one tRNA (with a specific anti-codon) for a particular amino acid; and 'wobble' base-pairing, i.e. permitting non-standard base-pairing at the 3rd anti-codon position. The record is from RNAcentral. Lineage: Bacteria; Pseudomonadati; Pseudomonadota; Betaproteobacteria. RNAcentral also lists the same sequence under 3 other names.
GCCCGGAUGGCGGAAUUGGUAGACGCACAUGGUUCAGGUCCAUGCGGUGGCAACACUGUGGAGGUUCGAGUCCUCUUCCGGGCACCA